UUUAUCAGGAACAGCU
RNAcentral lists this microRNA (16 nucleotides) under Corchorus olitorius. Its description in RNAcentral is "hsa-miR-42". Lineage: Eukaryota; Viridiplantae; Streptophyta; Magnoliopsida; Malvales; Malvaceae. The record is from RNAcentral.